This 380-nucleotide ribosomal RNA is filed under the name uncultured organism. RNAcentral describes it as "partial 16S ribosomal RNA". It matches the Rfam family "Bacterial small subunit ribosomal RNA", at positions 527 to 897 of the family's 1533-position model. The record is from RNAcentral.
GUAGGGUGCAAGCGUUAUCCGGAAUCAUUGGGCGUAAAGCGUUCGUAGGCUGUCUAGCAAGUUUGUAGUUAAAUCUGGUCGCUCAACGAUCAAUUCGCUACGAAAACUACUAGGCUGGAGAUUGGCAGGGGCAACUGGAAUUCCACAUGUAGGGGUAAAAUCCGUUGAUAUGUGGAGGAACACCAAAAGCGAAGGCAGGUUGCUGGGCCAUUUCUGACGCUGAGGAACGAAAGCGUGGGGAGCAAACAGGGAUUAGAUACCCUGGUAGUCCACGCCGUAAACGAUGGAUACUCGAUGUGGGAGGGAAUCGACCCCCCCUUUCCGUGUCUAAGCUAACGCGUUAAGUAUCCCCGCCUGGGGGAGUACGGUCGCAAGAUUAA